Molecule: unclassified non-coding RNA, 339 nt
Filed under: soil metagenome
Description: partial contains 5.8S ribosomal RNA, internal transcribed spacer 2, and large subunit ribosomal RNA
Rfam family: 5.8S ribosomal RNA (bases 1-120)
Source: RNAcentral
GAUGAAGAACGCAGCGAAAUGCGAUAACUAAUGUGAAUUGCAGAAUUUAGUGAAUCAUCGAGUCUUUGAACGCACAUUGCGCCCCCUGGUAUUCCGGGGGGCAUGCCUGUCCGAGCGUCAUUGCUGCCCUCAAGCACGGCUUGUGUGUUGGGCUCCGUCCCCCCGGGGACGGGCCCGAAAGGCAGCGGCGGCACCGAGUCCGGUCCUCGAGCGUAUGGGGCUUUGUCACCCGCUCUGUAGGCCCGGCCGGCGCCAGCCGACAACCCAUCAUCCUUUUCAGGUUGACCUCGGAUCAGGUAGGGAUACCCGCUGAACUUAAGCAUAUCAAUAAGCGGAGGA